This 388-nucleotide ribosomal RNA is filed under the name Annelida sp. Its description in RNAcentral is "partial small subunit ribosomal RNA". It matches the Rfam family "Eukaryotic small subunit ribosomal RNA", at positions 582 to 975 of the family's 1831-position model. The record is from RNAcentral. Lineage: Eukaryota; Metazoa; Annelida.
AUUCCAGCUCCAAUAGCGUAUAUUAAAGUUGUUGCAGUUAAAGAGCUCGUAGUUGGAUCUCGGGUCCAGGCUUGCGGUUCUGCUCAUGUAGACACUGCUCGUCCUGACCUACCUCCCGGUGUUCCCCUGGUGCCCUUAACUGGGUGUCUCGGGUGGCCGGAACGUUUACUUUGAAAAAAUUAGAGUGUUCAAAGCAGGCAGUGUGCCUGAAUAAUGGUGCAUGGAAUAAUAGAAAAGGACCUCGGUUCUAUUUUGUUGGUUUUCGGAACUUGAGGUAAUGAUUAAGAGGGACAGACGGGGGCAUUCGUAUUACGGUGUUAGAGGUGAAAUUCUUGGAUCGCCGUAAGACGAACUACUGCGAAAGCAUUUGCCAAGCAUGUUUUCAUCA